Molecule: ribosomal RNA, 207 nt
Filed under: uncultured bacterium
Lineage: Bacteria
Description: partial 16S ribosomal RNA
Rfam family: Bacterial small subunit ribosomal RNA
Source: RNAcentral
CUCGUAGGCGGUUCGUCGCGUCCGGUGUGAAAGUCCAUCGCUUAACGGUGGAUCUGCGCCGGGUACGGGCGGGCUGGAGUGCGGUAGGGAAGACUGGAAUUCCCGGUGUAACGGUGGAAUGUGUAGAUAUCGGGAAGAACACCAAUGGCGAAGGCAGGUCUCUGGGCCGUUACUGACGCUGAGGAGCGAAAGCGUGGGGAGCGAACA